RNAcentral lists this unclassified non-coding RNA (234 nucleotides) under plant metagenome. Its description in RNAcentral is "partial contains small subunit ribosomal RNA, internal transcribed spacer 1, and 5.8S ribosomal RNA". The record is from RNAcentral.
UUUCCGUAGGUGAACCUGCGGAAGGAUCAUUAAAGUUAUAGUCCCCCGGCCCCCUGGGCUGGGGUCUUCUAUACCACCCUUUGUUUAUUACACCUUUGUUGCUUUGGCAGGCCUGCCCUCGGGCUGCUGGCUCCGGCCGGCUCGCGUCUGCCAGAUGACCUAAACUCUGUUUGUAUAUGAAGUCUGAGUACUAUAUAAUAGUUAAAACUUUCAACAACGGAUCUCUUGGUUCUG